This 253-nucleotide ribosomal RNA is filed under the name uncultured bacterium. RNAcentral's name for it is "partial 16S ribosomal RNA". It matches the Rfam family "Bacterial small subunit ribosomal RNA", at positions 524 to 776 of the family's 1533-position model. The record is from RNAcentral.
UACGGAGGGUGCAAGCGUUAUCCGGAUUUACUGGGUUUAAAGGGUGUGUAGGCGGACUUUUAAGUCAGGGGUGAAAUCCCGAGGCUCAACCUCGGAACUGCCUUUGAUACUAUUGGUCUUGAAUGUUGUUGAGGUGGGCGGAACGGGUCAUGUAGCGGUGAAAUGCAUAGAUAUGACCCGGAACACCGAUUGCGAAGGCAGCCUACUGGAGGUUAACCGACGCUCAGGCACGAAAGCGUGGGGAUCAAGCAGG